This 482-nucleotide ribosomal RNA is filed under the name uncultured bacterium. RNAcentral describes it as "partial 16S ribosomal RNA". It matches the Rfam family "Bacterial small subunit ribosomal RNA", at positions 29 to 506 of the family's 1533-position model. The record is from RNAcentral.
AUUGAACGCUGGCGGCAGGCCUAACACAUGCAAGUCGAGCGGAUGAAGGGAGCUUGCUCCUGGAUUCAGCGGCGGACGGGUGAGUAAUGCCUAGGAAUCUGCCCGGUAGUGGGGGAUAACGUCCGGAAACGGGCGCUAAUACCGCAUACGUCCUGAGGGAGAAAGUGGGGGAUCUUCGGACCUCACGCUAUCAGAUGAGCCUAGGUCGGAUUAGCUAGUUGGUGGGGUAAGGCCUACCAAGGCGACGAUCCGUAACUGGUCUGAGAGGAUGAUCAGUCACACGGGAACUGAGACCGGGCCAGGACACCUAGGGGAGGCAGCGGGGGGAAUUUGUGAAAAGGGGGAGAAGGCUGAACCCAGCAAGGCGGGGUGUGGAAGGAAGGUUUUGGGAUGGAAAAGCUUUUUAAGUGGAAAGAAAGGGCAGAAAUUAAAUACCUUGUUGUUUGGACGUCACCAAAAGAAAAAGCACCGGCUAAUUGCGU